Molecule: non-coding RNA, 6405 nt
Organism: Equus caballus (horse)
Lineage: Eukaryota; Metazoa; Chordata; Mammalia; Perissodactyla; Equidae
Source: RefSeq, a predicted model, not a curated record
AACUGGAUAAGAAAAGAAUAUGCACUUCAUGUAUAUGCACAAAAAUCUGUUCAAAUUUUUCUUAGGAAUAAAGUAAAAGGUUUGUUACAACAAAUUGAAAGUGUAGUAGAAGUUGAUCAAAAAUCCAAAUAAGAGAAGGAGAAGGCCCUGAGAAAUUAUAAAGGAGUCAUAAAAUAGAUUUGAAUUAUACGCAGGCCAGACAAUUGAGUAAGAAAGAGAACAGCUACAUUUGGGUAAAUAUUUUCAAACAAGAAACUAACCGAAUCCUGGACCAGCUGUGGUUGAGGACCCUGGUGCCCUUUAAGAACGGCGCUCAUUUAGGGAAAAACAAAGGCCUUUCUCCUUCCCUCCUCAAAGCAUCCUGCGGAGGCCCAGUUCCGGACCACCGGGCACAUCCUGCGGCCCCCGCGGUGACAGGCGCGCGCCCGCCCCGCAGCUCUUCCCGUUUGGAGCAGGCGGAGCUUUCGCCGCUGGAAGACCGAGCCGGCUGACAGCUUCGGACACGCGGCGGAUCUGGGGCAGAUGCAGAGGGUCGCAGGCUGUCACCGCACUUCUAAUCUGGUUACAGGGCUGAGUCGCGGGAAGACGUUCACACGUUUGUAAUCCCCGAUCAUUCCUGCUCCCUAAGCCUGGCAGUCUCUGUCACUUUAAACAAAAAUGAGAUUUCUAUUUCACUGCAUGGGAGACACAGUUCACCUUCCUCACACCCAUCCCAGAAGUGUUCUCAGAGAUGAAAUUACUGGUGCCAGAAAGCGCGUGCUGCUCCGCAGAACCCAGAGUCAAGGAGAUGGAGGUGACCGGUUUUGCACUGAUCACAGAAAGUUCUCACAGACACCAUCACAGCCAAGCAAGCAGGACACGCCAGCACAGAUGUCGGGAAAGUCCUCUGUCGCAGGUGCCAUCAGACACCAGUGAACAAAUGACACCCCAUGUGAAGUUCUGUGGCUGCAGUUGUGGAGAGGACAGACUCAGAACCUUUGCUCCUAUGGACCUCACAUGCUGGAGAAAGAGGCAAGUGUGAUGAAACGGGACCUGCCCUCGAUUCUCCCCUGAGGACAUCUCACCUCUCCUCCAGGUUACGGCUGAGAACUCUUCUCUAUUACCCAAGGUGUCACCCAGGGAAGUCCCUAAAACAUUUUUCACGUGUAACACUUUGUUUUUAAGUUGUGCUUACUUAUAGUAACCAAGGCAGAACAAUGCCAGAUAGCCAAAUGGCAGAACCAGUUCAAACCAGAAAGGUCCAAGAUGGUGAUGGGGUACUGUGUGCAAAAGGAAAUGUGUGCAGAAGGUGCCAUGUGCAAGAAGGGAAGAUCUGUGCAUGCCCCAAAUGCCCCCACCCCUCACCCCGAGCAAUGAUGUGGAGACCCUUUCCCCUUCACAUCCCAUAAGAACCCUGCUAAUCUUCCUUUUGGGGACAUGUUUUAGAGCAUGAGCUCUGCCUCCUCUAUUCAUUAAUCAAUGAAUAAAGUUUCUGCUCUGCUAUUCUGAACCCCAGUUCCUUCUAUUGGUGAGAGCACCGCUGGGCAAAAGGACCCACUUUUAGUCACCUGUCCCUUAGGGCUUGGUAACAAAAUAUCGUAACCCCUAAGAGAAUGGAAUAGUUGCUGGCUCCUCUCCUUGAUUCUGGCCUCUCAGCUCUCAGCGGGUGAAGCAAUGGGCUACGGAAGCACAUACUGGGCUGACUCACCUACCUUGUUGGAGGCUCAUGAAUGGGAGAGAAACCAGGACUGUCCUGCCUGGUGCUUGUCCACUGAUCUCUCCCCACGGACUUUUACUAAACCAGCACCUGCUGCUGCACUUAGACUUUUGUCUUCUGCUGCUUGGUUUGAGUCAAGGGGGAUCUCUUACAAGCCAACAUAAAGUUUCCCUUUGGUUUAGCAUCAGAACAGGAGGUGUGCAUGCAGGCAGGACUGAGGCACAAGAGUGCCUUCUCCCUAGGAAUGGACUGAGGGAGCCCAGAAAAGGACUGAGGAGGGAACGGUUUUGUCGGUCCCUUAAGGGAGCCCCUCUCCAAAGGACAGGUACCAGUCCAUGAGGGACAGACUAGGCAUGGGAUCAGGGAUGCCUGAUCAACCCAGGUCACACUUGGGGGUGCCCAACCCUCAUGGCCAAGACAUCUAAGUGGGACGUUUUGAGGCAGCAACAGAAGGAGGUAACAACAGUUGUUCAGGGUUUUUGUUUUGUUUUUGUCUUUGCACUAAUCUUCUUCCAACAGGACCAGCUGGGAAUUACAGGUUUUAUAUAAAAGUAAUUACAUGUCUUAUGCCUGAUUGUAUUUUAAAUUAUAUUGUGGGGAUAAAUAUUGUGUCUCACUGGGAAACAUUUCCUUUGCUUGAUUUUGUGAGGGCAUAUAAAUCCAGCCUUCAGGCAAUGUUAAUUAAGCAUGGUAAAGGACAUCUCACUUUAAGUGGCCAAAUUGAUUCCAAAAACAGCUAUAAAAAGGAUCCUUACUGCAGAAAGAAAAGAAUCUUUGGAUCAAGAUAACCCAGGAUAAUUUAAAAUUACAGUGGCCACUUUGGGGCUUCUUUCAGCCUCCAAAACUUGUACACUAGCUGUUAGAAGGAAUGUUCCAAUUAUGCAACAUCAGUCAAGAAGUAUACUUUUUAAGUCAUGGCUUUACAAAUACCCUCGUAAUCUACCUUUGAGGGAGGACCCAAUAUGAGCCCCUCCCAGGGUUAACAAGACUCAGAGAGAUUUUCUGGGAAACUGCUACCCUAAAAAAGUCAAGGGAAAACAAAAUAAAAAAAUUAAUGGAACUGUUUAGUGCUGUCAGGAAUAAUUACUAUUUGUUCCCACUGAAACUUGACAAGAUUUGGUAACUUAUGAUCAGAAGUUUGGCCAAAUCAGAAGGUGAUAUGUAAUACCUGAUAGGAAUUUUUUUAGGCCUUCUUCCCUAAAUUAAGAUAAAACUAAGUACCCAGAGGGAAAGAAGCAAAUUAAGGAUAAUGUAACUGGAUGGGCGUGUCAGUCCUUUGAUAAGUAACUAAUCUCCCCUGAUAAUCUCAAAAAUUUGUGACCUCUCUGGGAGCUAUUAUCUAGACUAUCCCAGAUUCCUAAGACUGAAAGAAAAACAAAUGGGACAAGAAGCUUUUGGAGAUGCAGACUGCUAUGAAAGCACCCUUGUCCAGAAAUCUAAGGAAAACUUCCCCCCCCUGCUUUUUCUCCCCCAAAUCCCCUCAGUAUAUAGUUAUAUAUUUUAGUUGUGGGUCCUUCAAGUUGUGAAGACCUGAAGCUCUUAUUCUGGAGACACAAAGAUAAGUCCUUGUUGGGCUGGCAUCCCACUCUCAUGGAGGUGCUGGGACUCCUUUUCUGUCAUCUCUCAUAACUAAUCUUCACUCUGAUUUGUGCUCCCCCUGGAGUACCUAUAUCUACAGUGUCAUCAGGCUACAAAAAGAGACUAAUUGGUUAAAUGAAAAAGGCCAACCAGACCUAACAAAACAGCUCUGGAAUGGGGUUAAAUAGUCUCUCCCCAGCCUGACUUGGUUUCUAUCACUUUUUGGGGGCUAUUCUGCUUCUUCUAUUCUUUGGGCCUUGUAUUCUAAACUGUCUGGUUUCCUUUCCUAGCAAAAGACUAAUUAAAUUCCUAAUGGUAUUAAGCAGGGUUAUGAGAGGUUGGGAGUCUAACCGGAUGACAACCAAACAUAUUUAAAAGUAGCUGGGGAUAAGUUCUGCUCCUCUAUGGGCCCCUAUGAUGACGCCCUGGUCAGCUGGAAGUAGUUAUGGAAGACAGAACUUUAUCCAUUGCCCCUCAAGAAUGAGGAGCAGGACAUAGAGGAGGGAUUUUGUCACCCAGGGAAGUCCCUAAAACAUUUUCCAUGUCUAAUGCUUUGUUUUUAAGUUGUGUUUGCUUACAGGAACCAAGACAGAACAAUGACAGAUGGCCAAGCGGCAGAACCAGACCAAAGCAGAAAGGUCCAAGAUGGCGAUGGGGUGCUUUGCACAAAAGGAAAUGUGUGCAAAAGGUGCCUUGUACGAGAAGAGAAGAUCUGUGCAUGUCCCAAAAGCCCUCAAACCCUGAGCGAUGACAUGGACACCCCUCCCCUUCAAAUCCAUAAGAACCCUGCUCACCUUCCCUUCAGGGAGAAGGUAUUUUAGAGCACAAACUCUGCCUCCAUUCAUUGAUCAAUGAAUACAGUUUCCACUCUGCUAUUCUGAACCCAGUCUUGUUCUAUUGGCAGAGUGGCUCCAGGCAAAAGGACCCCAUUGGGGGUCACCAGUCCCUUAGAGCUCAGUAACAAAGGCUUAGCUAAGUCUUGCUCUGCCCUCAAUUUCCCCAUAACAUUCCAAUCUCCAUCAUUUAGUGCAGCACCAUGUUAUGAUUACUUUGGUCUUCCUACUCAACUGGUCCUUGGGCCAUGAAUCACAGCGUCCCUGUUGCUACAGAGCUCCCAGGAGGUGUUUGUGGUAUAUGAAGGAAGACAGCAAAUUCUUUGCUAUUCCUCCCAUUGAAAAGUGAGUCUAUUUCAUCUCACCCUGAAACUCGAUGACUUGCUUGACCAUAAGAAUUGGUGGAUGUAAUUUCCUUUUAAAUUUCUGAGAACAAGAUACAAAUAGUUUGCAACCUCUACAUGGGUCUCUUGGUACACCCUAGGCUGCCAUGUAAGAAGUCUACCCAUGUGUAAGCGCCCUGGUUGAAAGUUCCUGCUGGUCCCAGCCUUCCAGCCAUCUAUAAGAAGGCACAGCAACGUGAGUGAAGUCAUCCCAGACACUCUAAAUGAACUCACACAGCACCUGAGUAUCGCCAAGUGAUUACCAUUAUGCCACAUGGAAGAGUAGACUCACCCAGCUGAGCCCUGUUCGAUUUUCUGACUCCAAAAAUGUGGGAGUUAAUGCAUUGUUUGCACCUAUGUUUGGUGUCAUGUUUUCACGCAACAAUAGACAACUGCAAAAGUAAAGAAUCUUUUUCACCCACCUAAUUCCUAGCCUCCUCCAAGGACAAGUGGACAUCCCACUGUCUUCUUUGUAAGUCCUUUAACAGACUAAAUUUUCCCUCUGGGGACCUGUCAUGGCACUCAUAGAAAAUGGAGAACUUACCUGACAGUGCCCCUUAGACCUCAACAUCCUUGAAGACAUUCAGGAGUCUCUGUCUCUCAGCUCCUGCAGAGACCAGCCCUGGGGGACGACUCUCCUCCUGUCCCCGCCCUGCAAGGCCGAGCUUAUCCUCACGAUGCAAACUACUGGACAAGCCAACCAGCAGAUCAGGCAUUAUGGUCAUCUGGAGAUGUUGCCUUGGGAUGACUCUGGCCAGUCCAAGUGGCAUGAGCUGGGAAAGACUGAUGGCUGAUAAAGAAUCCACUUUCAAGACAGGGCACUCGCUUGACGGGCAUUUUGGUGCUGCUGCUCGGCUGGACUCUGGGGCAGGGUGCUGGGCAGCGUGUCAGAUGGCUCUCAGCUGAGAGUGUGGGGGAGGCCAGGCCAACACCCUGAGAUCCAGGGAUGGGUAGAGGCACGUUCCCUUUGAUUCUACUCCACCCACAGUGGAAAUCUCACGACUCAGCCAGAAGGAAAGAUGGGAAUGUGAGCGGGCAGGCUCAGGCCCAGGAAGGGGAGAAGCAACGUUAGCAGAAAAUUUGCAGUCUCCACCACACAAACAUUUUGUUAAUUUUUUGGGUAUGAGUAUUUAUUUUGGUGAUAAGUUAAAUAAUUUUUUAGAAUUUCCUUUUUGGCCUUAUGAUUCUCAUUUGUGGAAGUGAUUUAUUUUGGGAUACUAGUUUCAUAUGCGGCAAUCUUGAUGAACUGUCAUAAGUGCACCAGAUAUUUACAACAUGUUAGUUUUUGAAAAUUUUCUAUGUAGAUAAUCAUACAAUUUGAGAGAAAUUAUAUGUCUGUAAAUGGUAUUUGUAUUAUUUUAAUUCUUUUUUGUCUGUGUCAUAGCCCCAGCGAGAAUGUCUGGCAUGAUAUUUAAUUUAAACACUAAUAAUAACAAACUUGUUUGGUUGCUAAUUUGAAAGCUAAAAUUUCUGAUAUUUUCUCACUAAAAUUUAGGUUUAUUGUAGUGCUUUCAUUGAUAAAUUUCAACUAAUUAAGGGUAUAUAUUCCUAUGCAUAGUGUGGUGUUUCUAAAGUGAAUGGAUUUGUAUUUUAUUUUUUCUGCAUUAAGAUAAUCACAUGAUGUUUACAAUCCCUUAAUAUGCUGAAUUCUCUUAAUGUACUUUCCAAUAAUAAAACAUUUUUGAAUUCCUGAGAUGUUUUCAACUUGUAUUACAUUCUGUAAGCAUACCUGAAUUUAAUUAACAAGUUUUAGAACAACACUAUUCUAGCACCAUAAAAUGAGCUGGGGAAUAGGAAUUUCUGAAAGAUUCUGAAUAAGUUUGGAUACAUCCUUUCACUGAAUGAUUCAGGAACUCUUUCUGUAAGUCCAUCAGGGUCUGGAGUUUUCUCUUGCAGAUUAUUUAAAAAUAGGAAG